GCGCAUUUCUGGGUGACGGGGCCUUUUCUUACCUCUAGCGUGAGAACGAGGGUCUGGAUCCAAGGUUCGAUGGAUCGAUUCGCGCUCC
RNAcentral lists this transfer RNA (88 nucleotides) under Microbispora rosea subsp. rosea. RNAcentral describes it as "tRNA-Pyl". Lineage: Bacteria; Bacillati; Actinomycetota; Actinomycetes; Streptosporangiales; Streptosporangiaceae. The record is from RNAcentral.